CUUUAAAUGCACGCAAGUGUGAUAAGGGAACCCUAAGUGCUCAUGUUUUACAUGGGCUUUUGCCAAGAGUAAACAUCUUGGCGAAUAAGUGGUGGGAAAGACCGGUGGCAGCAGCCGCGGUAAUACCGGCGCCCCAAGCGGUGGUCGUUUUUAUUGGGCCUAAAGCGUUCGUAGCUGGUUUGGUUAGUCUUUGGUGAAAUCCAUGCGCUCAACGUAUGGGCGAGCCAGAGAUACUAUCAAGCUUGAGACCGGGAGAAGUAAGGAGUAUUCCUAGGGUAAGGGUAAAAUCUUGUAAUCCUGGGAGGACUACCGGUGGCGAAGGCGCCUUACUAGAACGGGUCUGACAGUGAGGGACGAAAGCUGAGGGAGCGAACGGGAUUAGAUACCCCGGUAGUCUCAGCUGUAAACUCUGCAUGUUAGGUGUUGCGCAUCGUUCGUCGGUGUGCAGUGUCGAAGUGAAGACGUUAAGCAUACCGCCUGGGAAGUAUGGUCGCAAGGCUGAAACUUAAAGGAAUUGGCGGGGGAGCAC
Molecule: ribosomal RNA, 529 nt
Filed under: uncultured archaeon
Lineage: Archaea
Description: bacterial SSU rRNA
Rfam family: Archaeal small subunit ribosomal RNA
Source: RNAcentral